This is a ribosomal RNA of 526 nucleotides. The stretch from base 168 to 321 matches the Rfam family "5.8S ribosomal RNA".
ANGNGGGNUUUNCACAACUCCAACCCAUGCUGAACUUACCUAUGUUGCCUCGGCGGGGAAGCCUACCCUGAUACCUACCCUGUAGUUACCCUGUAGGCCUACCCACCAGAGGACUUCUAAACUCUGUUUUUAUAUGAAACUUCUGAGUGUUUAAACUUAAUAGUUAAAACUUUCAACAACGGAUCUCUUGGUUCUGGCAUCGAUGAAGAACGCAGCGAAAUGCGAUAAGUAAUGUGAAUUGCAGAAUUCAGUGAAUCAUCGAAUCUUUGAACGCACAUUGCGCCCAUUAGUAUUCUAGUGGGCAUGCCUGUUCGAGCGUCAUUUCAACCAUCAAGCCCUAUUUGCUUGGCGUUGGGAGCUUACCCUGCACUUGCGGGAUAACUCCUUAAAUAUAUUGGCGGAGUCGCGAAGACCCCAAGCGUAGUAAUUCUUUCUCGCUUUAGGUGUUGACGCUGGCAUCCAGCCACUAAACCCCCAAUUUUAUAGGUUUGACCUCGGAUCAGGUAGGAAUACCCGCUGAACUUAA